GAUGAACGCUGGCGGCGUGCCCAAUACAUGCAAGUCGAGCGAACAGACGAGGAGCUUGCUCCUCUGACGUUAGCGGCGGACGGGUGAGUAACACGUGGAUAACCUACCUAUAAGACUGGGAUAACUUCGGGAAACCGGAGCUAAUACCGGAUAAUAUAUUGAACCGCAUGGUUCAAUAGUGAAAGACGGUUUUGCUGUCACUUAUAGAUGGAUCCGCGCCACAUUAGCUAGUUGGUAAGGUAACGGCUUACCAAGGCAACGAUGCGUAGCCGACCUGAGAGGGUGAUCGGCCACACUGGAACUGAGACACGGUCCAGACUCCUACGGGAGGCAGCAGUAGGGAAUCUUCCGCAAUGGGCGAAAGCCUGACGGAGCAACGCCGCGUGAGUGAUGAAGGUCUUCGGAUCGUAAAACUCUGUUAUUAGGGAAGAACAAAUGUGUAAGUAACUAUGCACGUCUUGACGGUACCUAAUCAGAAAGCCACGGCUAACUACGUG
This 497-nucleotide ribosomal RNA is filed under the name uncultured bacterium. RNAcentral describes it as "partial 16S ribosomal RNA". It matches the Rfam family "Bacterial small subunit ribosomal RNA", at positions 28 to 507 of the family's 1533-position model. The record is from RNAcentral.